Erinaceus europaeus (western European hedgehog) is the source of this 303-nucleotide unclassified non-coding RNA. Its record names the gene 7SK. It matches the Rfam family "7SK RNA". From Rfam's summary of the family: 7SK was discovered as an abundant small nuclear RNA in the mid-70s but a possible function has only recently been suggested. Two independent studies have found that 7SK RNA binds the CDK9/cyclin T complex (known as elongation factor P-TEFb). The record is from Ensembl. Lineage: Eukaryota; Metazoa; Chordata; Mammalia; Eulipotyphla; Erinaceidae.
GGAUGUGAGAGUGAUCUGGCUGCGACAUCUGUCACCCCAUUGAUCGCCAGGGUUGAUUCAGCUGAUCUGGCUGGCUAGGCGUGUGUCCCCUUCCUCCCUCACUGCUCCAUGUGCAUCCCUCCUGAAGCUGCAUGCUCGGUCGAAAAGGAUGGCCUUCCCCUGAUAGAGACGGACCAGUCUUCGGUUGAGGGUAUACGAGUAGCUGCGCUCCCCUGCUAGAACCUCCAAACAAGCUCUCAACGUCCAUUUGAUAGUGUGAUUACAGACUCAAAAGUAUGACUGUUGGCUUUAUUGUUCUUCCGU